Molecule: small nucleolar RNA, 130 nt
Organism: Stegostoma tigrinum
Lineage: Eukaryota; Metazoa; Chordata; Chondrichthyes; Orectolobiformes; Stegostomatidae
Product: small nucleolar RNA SNORA31
Exons: 1
Source: RefSeq, a predicted model, not a curated record
AUGCAUCUACUGAUAGACCUGAAAGAAAAACAAUUGACUUUCUGGUUUGCACUUAGAUGCAAGAUAAUUUCUCCUGUUUAUGCUGUCUUGCUUUGCUGUGGCAAUUCAGAUUGAAUAAGGGUGAACAUUU